Molecule: long non-coding RNA, 1155 nt
Organism: Folsomia candida
Lineage: Eukaryota; Metazoa; Arthropoda; Collembola; Entomobryomorpha; Isotomidae
Exons: 2
Source: RefSeq, a predicted model, not a curated record
CUUAUGAGCUCAGCCCUAUAAUGGUAAUGUUCCGAAUCGGGGUUAUCCAAGUCAGCCAACAUAAUCCCGUAGUCUUCCAGGCCUUUCCACACUUCUACAUUGUCCAUGAGUUGUUGCAACUGUCCUGACACCCAGCCCCUGUCCCCACUGGCGUCCAAAUAGCUUUUCACAAGGGAGAGAUACGUGGCGGCGUACGAGUCGGUUGAAUCUGCAGUCAAAUUUGAAACCACGGUGUCGCUCGUGUCAAGGUGAUGGUCAUAAAUGGUCCCGUCCGCAUUCAGAUUGGCGAUAUACCAUUCAAGGUACUUUUUAACCUUGGCCAAAGUUGGGCCAGAGGUGUUUACUCGUAGCACAUUUUUUAGUGCCAAGUUCGUAACGUAUGGUAAAAUGUUCACAAUUUGCUGGGGAUUUCGAACAUUUUGUGGUAUGCACCCUAUGUAUAAAAUUCUUUAAGUUGUCCAUUCUCGAGAUUACAGUGUACAUAUAUGUAUAAACUUUUUAGUACGCCAGAUACUGUACCUGAUGGUCGUUGCAAAUUAAGAAUCCAAGUUACUUCUUGGUCGACAAGGUUAAUAUUUCCAGAAACUAAGGUGAAAAUGGUUAUUAUUAUUAAUAUUGCGAUAUGGGGAAAUUUGCCCAAGUUAUUCGCCAUUUCAAAUAUUAUGCUUGCGUACAACAUGUCAAACGUAGAAUAUGUACAUCCUAAUAACCUUUGUUUUUAUAGACAAUUGUAUCGCACUAAUUUUGCUAAUACAUGGUUUUAUUAUUUCAUCCAUUUUCCAUAUCAUAAACAAAGUGCACAUGCGAAUUGAUUGAUUAAUUUACAGGUUUUAAUUAACUGUCGGAUGAGCGUCAAUUGUGUUUUUUUAAUAGCUCUGAGCACCACAUAAUUACUUUGUAGGUGUAUCUUUAUUAACCAUAUAUACGAUGCAUAUCCAAGAAAUAAAAUUAGUGGUCAACUAAUUACAUAAAUUAGCAUGCAAUCAUAAUAGUUUCAUUCAAGUAUGAAAAUAACCUUGAAAGGUAUAUAAAACGCAUUUGAAAUGCUUUUUGGAAAAAAUUAUGUAAAUGAUUUAUUAUAGUGUCAACAAGCAGCUUUUUGAUAAUUUAAUAAUCAACAUAUUACGUAUGAAAGCUAAAAAUAUUUAAAUAUAU